Molecule: ribosomal RNA, 460 nt
Filed under: uncultured bacterium
Lineage: Bacteria
Description: partial 16S ribosomal RNA
Rfam family: Bacterial small subunit ribosomal RNA
Source: RNAcentral
CCUACGGGGUGCAGCAGUGAGGAAUAUUGGUCAAUGGACGGAAGUCUGAACCAGCCAUGCCGCGUGCAGGAAGACGGCUCUAUGAGUUGUAAACUGCUUUUGUACAAGGGUAAACCCGAAUACGUGUAUUCAGCUGAAAGUACUGUACGAAUAAGGAUCGGCUAACUCCGUGCCAGCAGCCGCGGUAAUACGGAGGAUCCAAGCGUUAUCCGGAUUUAUUGGGUUUAAAGGGUGCGUAGGCGGAUUGAUAAGUUAGAGGGGAAAUGUCCGAGCUUAACUCGGGAACUGCCUCGAAAACUGUUGAUCUAGAGAGUAGAUGCGGUAGGCGGAAUGUAUGGUGUAGCGGUGAAAUGCUUAGAGAUCAUACAGAACACCGAUUGCGAAGGCAGCUUACCAAUCUAUAUCUGACGUUGAGGCACGAAAGCGUGGGGAGCAAACAGGAUUAGAUACCCGGGUAGUC